CGUGACCACGACAUCCGGUUGCUGGGUCCUAACGUGUUUGAAGGACGUGUCCAGGUCAGACGGGAUGGGACGUGGGGUUCUAUCUGCCCUCGUUGGUUGAGGAAUUCAGAAGCAAUUGUGGUCUGUAGACAACUGGGGUUUGAGAACGGACGAGUAGACAGCAGGUACCGGUUUGGCACAGGGCGGAUGGCUGUGUCCAACCUACAGUGUCGCGGCAAUGAGGACAAUAUCUACGAGUGCGGACAUGACAGCCUGGACCAACCUCCUCAGUGCCAAACUGGGCGCAACCGAAAUGACCUGGGUGUAGUGUGCGAGGGUCUUAGGAACAGGGGAGGUGUCCACUGGAAGGGGCUGAAUUUCGUCACAACGGAUCCGUCCAUGUACUCAGUGAUACAAAAUGUCGACGUUCUCCAUGGGGGUUCGACAAACACAAACGCUGCCGUCAACAUCACGGCAGUUUCUCCCGAACUACACAACGUCACUAUCAAGUACAGCGGUCAGGCAGCCAUCCACAUCAACAAUCCAACCACUCCGUUCCAAAUAUCGAACUGCGAGAUCUCUGAUAACAGUGGAAUCGGACUUUUACUUAAUAACCCUUCGCAAAAUAUCAUAGUUUCUUCAACAACUUUUGCAAGAAAUUUUCCUGCAGGAAUGCACGUUACGGGUGCCCACAGCACAGCGCAUUCUUUCCAUCAACACAAGCACAUUCAUCGAGAACAGCGGUGCAGGUCUGAUGCUGUCAGGUGUUCCGAUGAGGGUCGCCGUCAAUGACUCCGUGUUCAACUUCAAUUCUCACUACGGACUCAGUAUCUCGUCUGACAGAGUCACCAACCUUGAAAGUCACGGUUGCCAUUUUGAUCACAAUGGCCUUAACGGUGUUCAUAUCCGUUACACAAGCGUCCUCUCCUCGGAAUCGACCACUACAGUGAUGAGCAAUGGUGUGGCAGACUGUAAUGGUGGUAGAGGACUUGACCUUGAAAUCAGCUACGAUGAUAGAUUUAGUGUGCCGCUUGUAGAUCAAGUCGAUAUUUUAGGUUCCG
This is a long non-coding RNA of Branchiostoma belcheri (Belcher's lancelet), 1040 nucleotides long. RefSeq lists it as uncharacterized. The record is from RefSeq and is a predicted model, not a curated record. The transcript has 3 exons. Lineage: Eukaryota; Metazoa; Chordata; Leptocardii; Amphioxiformes; Branchiostomatidae.